This 405-nucleotide ribosomal RNA is filed under the name uncultured bacterium. RNAcentral's name for it is "partial 16S ribosomal RNA". It matches the Rfam family "Bacterial small subunit ribosomal RNA", at positions 30 to 526 of the family's 1533-position model. The record is from RNAcentral.
AUUGAACGCUAGCGGGAUGCUUUACACAUGCAAGUCGAACGAGUGGCGGACGGGUGAGUAAUAUAUCUGAACGUGCCCAGUAGCGGGGGAUAACUACUCGAAGGAGUGACUAAUAACGCCUACUAGUGGAGCGGCCGGUAUCGGAUUAGCUAGUUGGUGGGGUAAAGGCUGACCAAGGAAACGAUCCGUAGCUGGUGUGAGAGGACGACCAGUCACACUGGGACGGAGACACGGCCCAGACGACUACGGGAGGCAGCAGUGGGGAAUUUUGUACAAUGGGGGAAACCCUGCUCUAGCCAUCCCGCGUGUAUGAGAAGGCCUUCCGGUUGUAAAGUACUUUUGGCAGAGAAGCGGUAUCUGCAGAAUAAGCACCGGCUAACUACGUGCCAGCAGCCGCGGUAAUUC